UGCAAGUCGAGCGGACGGAGGGGAGCUUGCUCCCUGAAGUCAGCGGCGGACGGGUGAGUAACACGUGGGCAACCUGCCUGUAAGACUGGGAUAACUUCGGGAAACCGGAGCUAAUACCGGAUAAUGCACAGCCUCUCAUGAGGCUAUGCUGAAAGAUGGUUUCGGCUAUCACUUACAGAUGGGCCCGCGGCGCAUUAGCUAGUUGGUGAGGUAACGGCUCACCAAGGCAACGAUGCGUAGCCGACCUGAGAGGGUGAUCGGCCACACUGGGACUGAGACACGGCCCAGACUCCUACGGGAGGCAGCAGUAGGGAAUCUUCCGCAAUGGACGAAAGUCUGACGGAGCAACGCCGCGUGAGUGAUGAAGGUUUUCGGAUCGUAAAACUCUGUUGUCAGGGAAGAACAAGUGCCGGAGUAACUGCCGGCACCUUGACGGUACCUGACCAGAAAGCCACGGCUAACUACGUGCCAGCAGCCGCGGUAAUACGUAGGUGGCAAGCGUUGUCCGGAAUUAUUGGGCGUAAAGCGCGCGCAGGCGGUCUCUUAAGUCUGAUGUGAAAGCCCACGGCUCAACCGUGGAGGGUCAUUGGAAACUGGGGGACUUGAGUGCAGAAGAGGAAAGUGGAAUUCCACGUGUAGCGGUGAAAUGCGUAGAGAUGUGGAGGAACACCAGUGGCGAAGGCGACUUUCUGGUCUGUAACUGACGCUGAGGCGCGAAAGCGUGGGGAGCAAACAGGAUUAGAUACCCUGGUAGUCCACGCCGUAAACGAUGAGUGCUAAGUGUUAGAGGGUUUCCGCCCUUUAGUGCUGCAGCAAACGCAUUAAGCACUCCGCCUGGGGAGUACGGCCGCAAGGCUG
This 858-nucleotide ribosomal RNA is filed under the name Bacillus sp. (in: firmicutes). RNAcentral describes it as "bacterial SSU rRNA". It matches the Rfam family "Bacterial small subunit ribosomal RNA", at positions 56 to 896 of the family's 1533-position model. The record is from RNAcentral. Lineage: Bacteria; Bacillati; Bacillota; Bacilli; Caryophanales; Bacillaceae.